CGCGGCGGGAAGCGGGUGGCGCGGGCUGCCGGGGGAAGUGAGUGGGGGCGGAGAAUGGCGGGUCAGAGAGGAGGGAGCCAGCAGAUGCCCAAAGGAUGAUAAGAAGCUUACUGUGAAAUGGCUCGCGGAGCCGCAGCUCGAGCCUUGUGAGCCUUGGAAGCCCAUUUUCCGCGCAGUCACUAACUCGCCUAGUCACCCAGUGUAAAAGUUAUUCUCGGAUGACACGUGCCUGGGAAGUCUCACCUUUCCCCCCACCUCCUCCUGUCUGCGUAUUGUUCUGUAGCACCCCGUGCACGCCUUGAUUGUAGCGCUUAAGGCGUCAGUUUUAUUUACUAGAGAGGGAUAAAACUGUAUCCAUUGUGUCCAUUGUGUCCCAACCUCCUAGAACGUGGGUCGUAGUGUAAAGCUUAAUAAAUGUAAUAUAAAUGGGGAAUUAAAUUCAUAAUUGUU
Cercocebus atys (sooty mangabey) is the source of this 450-nucleotide long non-coding RNA. RefSeq lists it as uncharacterized. The transcript has 2 exons. Lineage: Eukaryota; Metazoa; Chordata; Mammalia; Primates; Cercopithecidae. The record is from RefSeq and is a predicted model, not a curated record.